UAACUACUUCUUUGGUCCGGAAUUACUUGUUGCAUAAACUGAUGUAUCUAGAUGUAUUUUAGUGCUAGAUACAUCCGUUUGAGCGUCAAGUAAUUCCGGACGGAGGGAGUACACC
Molecule: non-coding RNA, 115 nt
Organism: Triticum aestivum (bread wheat)
Lineage: Eukaryota; Viridiplantae; Streptophyta; Magnoliopsida; Poales; Poaceae
Source: Rfam